AAGAGCAGAUGGAAAUACAGAGACCCUCAGAGAAGAGAAGGCCAUGUAAAGAUGGAGGCAGAGGUUGGAGUGAUGCGUACAAGCCCAGGAACACCAAGGAUGCCGGCAUCCACCAGAAGCCAGGAAGAGUCCACCGAAGCAUUCACUUGGCACCUCUCCAAAUCUGGGUACUGUGCAAGAUCCUUCCUUGGGACACUGAAGGAAAAUCAGACACGGCCCUUCUCUCAAGUUCGCAGACUCUCCGGUAUCCAGAUACUACGGCUCUCAUAGUAUCAGAAAACACAGCCACAAGCGCAGGUAUCAGCGUGCCUGGCACAUAAAUGGUGCUCAAUAAAUACUUGCGGAAGGAAGACAAGAUAAGCAGCCAGGUUGGAAAGAAAAAAAAAUCCAUAAAGGAAUAUUGACAUUAAAUGCUAAGUGAUGUCACAAGGAUUUAACCUUUUUGUUCUCUUUAUGUAGAUAAAGUAUACGCAAUUACACGAAAUCCUACAGAUGUCUCGUAGUUCUCAAAAUUCUUCAUUUGUUUCUCCUCCACUUCUUUAUACAACUAAAUAGUAGAAAGAGCCAAGCAAUGUGCACAGUAAAAUUUCUACUGCAGAGUAGUUAAAAGUAUCACUACUCAGCAAUGUACUGUACUAUUCAAAGAGUGCUAAGUGUUUUCCUCUCUACCCAUGACGCAAGUUCUCGCUCCUUCUGUGGGAUGUGAUCUUGGCUUCCUUCUUUGGACAAAGCCAAUCCAGAGCACACUGCAUCACCACACUCACUUAUCAAGAAAAGGCCAAUAUUAUCUAAUAUACGUGAAAAUAAAACAUGAAGAUAUAUGGCAUUAUUUUCCUUUGUGCACAAAAACAAAUUUUUUUUCCAAGUGCGACUGUUUUACUAAAGAAAACCAAUUAUUAUUUACCUUUACUCUUAAA
Homo sapiens (human) is the source of this 917-nucleotide long non-coding RNA. The record is from Ensembl. NCBI's taxonomy places the organism in Eukaryota, Metazoa, Chordata, Mammalia, Primates, Hominidae.